UCAAGACCUGUAUGUGUGUAUUUGGAUAAAUAUUUUCAAUCUGAUGCAGCCAUGCUCUUCAAUACCUUGUUGGUAAUCGGCCUCUCCGUGUCAGGAGAAUACUACUGUGAGGCAGAGAAUGGGACUGAGACAGACAUCUCUCCUCCUAACGGUCCUGAUGUGCAGUAUCCUCCGAAGAGCGUCUCAGUAUCAGC
Molecule: long non-coding RNA, 194 nt
Organism: Anguilla anguilla (European eel)
Lineage: Eukaryota; Metazoa; Chordata; Actinopteri; Anguilliformes; Anguillidae
Exons: 3
Source: RefSeq, a predicted model, not a curated record